CUCACGGGGACCAUAUACACUACCACAUACCACCUGAUAAACAUUUAUGCCCCCAAUCAACCAGACCCAGAAUUUUGGGAGACAUUACACAACUCAAUCCACGCCUUGCCCCGGGGGUUUGUUGUGUUGGGGGGCGACUUUAACUCGGGGCCGUGCCCACCGGUCGACCGCAGCAGGCCGUCGGGAGACCGGGGGGCACUGCGGACAGGAGGACAAGACAAGCUGCUAGCCCAGUUCAUACAAAAAGCAAAACUGUUAGACCCCUGGAGGCUGCAACAUCCAGGACAGAGGGACUAUACAUACUUUUCGGCGGCUCAUUC
Molecule: non-coding RNA, 320 nt
Organism: Pelobates cultripes (western spadefoot toad)
Lineage: Eukaryota; Metazoa; Chordata; Amphibia; Anura; Pelobatidae
Source: the annotation of a GenBank genome assembly